UAGGGAAUCUUCCACAAUGGACGCAAGUCUGAUGGAGCAACGCCGCGUGAGUGAAGAAGGUUUUCGGAUCGUAAAGCUCUGUUGUUGGUGAAGAAGGAUAGAGGUAGUAACUGGCCUUUAUUUGACGGUAAUCAACCAGAAAGUCACGGCUAACUACGUGCCAGCAGCCGCGGUAAUACGUAGGUGGCAAGCGUUGUCCGGAUUUAUUGGGCGUAAAGCGAGCGCAGGCGGAAGAAUAAGUCUGAUGUGAAAGCCCUCGGCUUAACCGAGGAACUGCAUCGGAAACUGUUUUUCUUGAGUGCAGAAGAGGAGAGUGGAACUCCAUGUGUAGCGGUGGAAUGCGUAGAUAUAUGGAAGAACACCAGUGGCGAAGGCGACUCUCUGGUCUGCAACUGACGCUGAGGCUCGAAAGCAUGGGUAGCGAACAGG
This 429-nucleotide ribosomal RNA is filed under the name bacterium. RNAcentral's name for it is "partial 16S ribosomal RNA". It matches the Rfam family "Bacterial small subunit ribosomal RNA", at positions 355 to 776 of the family's 1533-position model. RNAcentral also lists the same sequence under 5 other names. The record is from RNAcentral.